This is a long non-coding RNA of Macadamia integrifolia, 684 nucleotides long. RefSeq lists it as uncharacterized. NCBI's taxonomy places the organism in Eukaryota, Viridiplantae, Streptophyta, Magnoliopsida, Proteales, Proteaceae. The record is from RefSeq and is a predicted model, not a curated record. The transcript is spliced from 2 exons.
UUUAACUUGCUGUGAUGGUCACAACAGGGGCGAGUGACGGCCUCAUUUCAUAUGUAACCGUUCCAAUUUCUUUCCUUCCAAAUAACCAGGGAGAGAAGAGGAGGAUAAUGACAGUAGAUUUCUCUCUCUCUCUCUCUCUCUCUCUCUCUCUCUCUCUACAACAUUUUUUUAUUUCUCUCCAAUUGCUCUCUUUGUAGACGAUCCGUCUCCCUCUCACUACAAAUUUGUUUUAACUUCUCAAGUUUAGAAUACACAAUGCCAGUUCACACAAAUCGGGUCCAAGCAAUCCAUGGAAACAGAAGAUAGAACAUAGAAAUCAGUACACCUUGAGAAGCACCAACUCCAGUGCCAACCAUAACUACUGUGGGAGUUGCCAAACCUAGAGCGCAAGGGCAGGCUAUGACCAUGACAGAGAUGCCAAAUUGAAGAGCAAGCUGAAAUCUAUCCAUGGAGGAUGGUAUCCAAGACUUUGGAUAGGCAUUGAAUUUUCCAGCUAUAAACCAGGCAAGCCAAGUGCAAAAUGCCAGGAUAAUAACCUGUAAGAAUUAAAGUUGAAUAGUCACCAAAAGCUUGGAAAGCAAAGUGGUCUUGUUUGAUAAUUAGUACAUAUGCAAAGUGGUUUCAUGUGGCUUGUAAGAAAUAGAAAUUUUAUCAAUUGUUAAAUAAAUUUUCACAUCUUGAACU